This 258-nucleotide ribosomal RNA is filed under the name uncultured bacterium. RNAcentral describes it as "partial 16S ribosomal RNA". The record is from RNAcentral.
CUGCUGCCUUCCGUAGGAGUUUGGGCCGUGUCUCAGUCCCAAUGUGGCCGUACACCCUCUCAGGCCGGCUACUGAUCGUCGCCUUGGUAGGCCGUUACCCUGCCAACUAGCUAAUCAGACGCGGACCCAUCUCAUACCACCGGAGUUUUUCACACAAAACCAUGCGAUUUCGUGCGCUUAUGCGGUAUUAACAGCCGUUUCCAACUGUUAUCCCCCUGUAUGAGGCAGGUUAUCCACGCGUUACUCACCCGUCCGCCA